This 719-nucleotide long non-coding RNA is filed under the name Marmota monax (woodchuck). Lineage: Eukaryota; Metazoa; Chordata; Mammalia; Rodentia; Sciuridae. The record is from RNAcentral.
GUCAGGACUGCAGUAAGAAGACUCUGCUCUGAAUUCCUUGCAACAGCUUUCUUAAAUUGUGGAUGUGCGCUCUUCCCUUGAUGCUAUGAGACAUCUCAGGAAGAGUAACCAGAGCCUGUUCCUGCAACAAGCAACCAGGAAGAAAGAACCCUCACUAAUAUGCUAGGAGAAGUGUUGAAACCAUGAUAUUUAUUCUGGAGGGGAAAAGACACAGAAGGAACAUGAGAGCUGUAGGCAAAUAUCUGAAGGGCUGGCUGAGGAAAAGCCAGCUCAGACUUAUUGCACUUCGAAUGGCAGAACUACAGGGGUCGGGCUCCACCGAUUCUCCCGAAGAUGUCAAGAGCGACCUUGGGAAAGACUUAUUUUGUGCAACAGGACUCAUGAUGGGACCAGGGUAGAGAGGCCAGGCAUUAACCUACUCUGGUUCCAGAGGGUUCCUCUGACCUGGACAAUCCACUCCCUUCUUCCCUUUUCCUCUAAGCAAAGCCACCUAGAUAAAGACUUGACACAAGUCCCUUUGUUCAAGACUUCAGGAAGAUAGCAGCAGAUUAUUAAAUAAUUUUAAAUAUUAUGUAAUUCUUUUUUAAAAUAUAUGUAUUUUUUAGUUGUGGAUGGACACAAUGCCUUUAUUUUGUUUAUUUGUUUAAAUGUGGUGCCGAGGAAUCGAACCCAGUGUCUCACCGUGCAAGGCAAGCGCUCUACCAUUGAGCCACAACCCC